CCCGCCGGUUUCGCCUCAAGGCCGUGCAAACCAGCAAAGCCUGCAAUGUGCCUUCCCUCUACACCUGCGUGGUGCCCGUGGAUGGCACCACCCAGGCAGCCCUGCCCGCCGCCGUGGAGGUGUGCAGCGCAGGUACGGCCCUGGGGGCCCUCCUGAGCCCUCCCAGCUGAGUCCCCAUGCUUUGCAUGUUGCCACGUUGCCGGUGCGAGGCCACCUGCCUGCACAGCUCAGCCUCCCUGUCCCAGGAGGCCUGGGAGGCAGUGUGCUGGAGAGGGGGAAGGCAUUGAGGGACCCGAGCGCAGCCCAGGGCUGAGAUCAUGUGCGGUUCCUUGCAGCCAGCUCUGCCAGCCACCAGCGAGCGGCUCCAGCAGAGAGCUGUUGCCACAGGAGUUACUCGGCAGGUUUGGCCCGGCAGCAGGACGCGGAGCAGGACGAGGCGCUCAUCGCUGCAGGUACCAAUUGGGGCUUACGCUCCCACUCAGCCUCCCCAGGGACCUGCCUGAGCAAACGGCUCCUUGAAGACCCCAGCGACCCUGGGCACUGCGGAGCUGUCAGCUCACGGCUUUGUAGGGCUUGGUCCCCAGCUCAGGCAGUGGCGAGCCACGCGGGUCCCAGGAGCCCCAGUGCCCUCAGUGCUUAUUCUGUUGCAGAGCGAGAUGAGAUCCCUGCGUCUCCAGCUAGUGUAUCCUCUGCGACCUCUGGCUGGGAAAAGCAGAACAGCCCUAAUGGGCGGCCAUCUAGCCCCUCCAUCGCCUCCAUGGGCUCCCAGAAAUCCACGGAGAGCAUUGCUGGCUCCAGGUGAGGCUGUCCUGCUCCAGGGUCCAGGGCCGAGGGGGUGCAGAGGCCAAAGAGAGCAGACUGGGGGGCAAUGUCACUUCCUGGGCGUGGGCCAGCGCGCCGGCUCCCAUGCUGUAAGAGGGUUGGUGCUCCAGCAUAGUCCUUGCUGUAGCCCAGCCUGGCCAGGGCCCAGCUGCCUCUCUGGAAAAGCCAGGUCACAGAGCCAGCAGGGCUGAGCCAAGCAGGGCCCCUUCCCUCCUGCCCCCCCCAUAAUGAGCCUGUUUGCCCGGCCAGGUUUAGCCUGAGCAGACGCAGGGGGCCCAGCCUGGCACUGCGCCCACACUGCCUCAGCCCGGAAAGUGAGCACGCCAGCAGCAACGCCAGCCACGAAUA
Molecule: long non-coding RNA, 1170 nt
Filed under: Struthio camelus australis
Lineage: Eukaryota; Metazoa; Chordata; Aves; Struthioniformes; Struthionidae
Description: lncRNA (ENSSCUG00000014284.1)
Source: RNAcentral